AAAAAAGAAUAGAUCAGAUUCGAAUCGAUGUGGUAACAUAUCGUUUCAUACUAGCACUAAUGCACCGGAUCCCAUCAGAACUCCGCAGUUAAGCGUGCUUGGGCGAGAGUAGUACAGAGGAUGGGUGACCUUAGAGGAAUGUCCUCGUAUUGCAUCCCUC
This 160-nucleotide ribosomal RNA is filed under the name Arabidopsis thaliana (thale cress). Lineage: Eukaryota; Viridiplantae; Streptophyta; Magnoliopsida; Brassicales; Brassicaceae. The record is from RNAcentral.